This 204-nucleotide ribosomal RNA is filed under the name Pseudambassis lala (highfin glassy perchlet). RNAcentral's name for it is "partial 16S ribosomal RNA". The record is from RNAcentral. Lineage: Eukaryota; Metazoa; Chordata; Actinopteri; Ambassidae.
UACUGAAAAGCUAGCCGACCAAACUAAAAACACCUAACCUUUAUAAUUAAACCCUAACGCACUACAACAGCAAAACAAACCAUUUUUCCCCCUGAGUAUGGGAGACAGAAAAGGAACAACGAGCAAUAGAAAAAGUACCGCAAGGGAACGCUGAAAAAGAAAUGAAACAACCCAGUUAAGUGAAAAAAAGCAGAGACUAACCCU